UGCAACCCGACUCCACGAAGCUGGAUUCGCUAGUAAUCGCGCAUCAGCCACGGCGCGGUGAAUACGUUCCCGGGCCUUGUACACACCGCCCGUCAAGCCAUGGGAGCCGGGGUACCUGAAGUGCGUAACCGCGAGGAGCGCCCUAGGGUAAAACUGGUGACUGGGGCUAAGUCGUAACAAGGUAGC
Molecule: ribosomal RNA, 186 nt
Filed under: uncultured bacterium
Lineage: Bacteria
Description: partial 16S ribosomal RNA
Rfam family: Bacterial small subunit ribosomal RNA
Source: RNAcentral